This 21-nucleotide non-coding RNA is filed under the name Arabidopsis thaliana (thale cress). The record is from RNAcentral. Lineage: Eukaryota; Viridiplantae; Streptophyta; Magnoliopsida; Brassicales; Brassicaceae.
GCGGGUCGCCGCGUGCCGGCC